GCACAAGCGGUGGAUGAUGUGGUUUAAUUCGAUGCAACGCGAAAACCUUACCUACCUUUGACAUGUACGGAACUCGCCAGAGAUGGCUUGGUGCUCGAAAGAGAGCCGUAACACAGGUGCUGCAUGGCUGUCGUCAGCUCGUGUCGUGAGAUGUUGGGUUAAGUCCCGCAACGAGCGCAACCCUUGUCAUUAGUUGCUACAUUUAGUUGGGCACUCUAAUGAGACUGCCGGUGACAAACCGGAGGAAGGUGGGGAUGACGUCAAGUCCUCAUGGCCCUUAUAGGUAGGGCUACACACGUCAUACAAUGGAUGGUACAAAGGGUCGCCAACCCGCGAGGGGGAGCCAAUCCCAUAAAGCCAUUCGUAGUCCGGAUCGCAGUCUGCAACUCGACUGCGUGAAGUCGGAAUCGCUAGUAAUCGUGGAUCAGAAUGUCACGGUGAAUACGUUCCCGGGUCUU
RNAcentral lists this ribosomal RNA (458 nucleotides) under uncultured Polaromonas sp. Its description in RNAcentral is "bacterial SSU rRNA". It matches the Rfam family "Bacterial small subunit ribosomal RNA", at positions 923 to 1382 of the family's 1533-position model. The record is from RNAcentral. Lineage: Bacteria; Pseudomonadati; Pseudomonadota; Betaproteobacteria; Burkholderiales; Comamonadaceae.